Molecule: long non-coding RNA, 305 nt
Organism: Candoia aspera
Lineage: Eukaryota; Metazoa; Chordata; Lepidosauria; Squamata; Candoiidae
Exons: 3
Source: RefSeq, a predicted model, not a curated record
CUCAGGAGAUGUGGAUCCAGCCUGGAUCUCCCUUACAUCUACAUGAUCCCACUGGAGGAGAUCAUCUUGCACCAUGGGAGGCAGAGCAAGCCAAAGAAAAUCUAAUAUUGUUCUGCAAAACCACAUUAUGUCUCUGCUAUGAACUAGUGAAAGCUACAAAAGCAUGGCGUAACAUUGUGUGGAUGAAUGUAGAAGUGGAAAACUGUCUGUUUUUUACAGAAAAGGGUGGGACACUUACAGUUCAAAUAAAAAUAAAAUAUUAAUAUUGUAAUAAAAUAUUAAAGAUCAAAAGAUGGAGCAUACAA